GACGAACGCUGGCGGCGUGCUUAACACAUGCAAGUCGAACGGAAAGGCCCUGCUUUUGUGGGGUGCUCGAGUGGCGAACGGGUGAGUAACACGUGAGUAACCUGCCCUUGACUUUGGGAUAACUUCAGGAAACUGGGGCUAAUACCGGAUAGGAGCUCCUGCUGCAUGGUGGGGGUUGGAAAGUUUCGGCGGUUGGGGAUGGACUCGCGGCUUAUCAGCUUGUUGGUGGGGUAGUGGCUUACCAAGGCUUUGACGGGUAGCCGGCCUGAGAGGGUGACCGGCGACAUUGGGACUGAGAUACGGACCAGACUCCAACGGUAGGCAGCAGUGGGGAAUAUUGCACAAUGGGCGGAAGCCUGAUGCAGCAACGCCGCGUUCGGGAUGACGGCCUUCGGGUUGUAAACCGCUUUCGCCUGUGACGAAGCGUGAGUGACGGUAAUGGGUAAAGAAGCACCGGCUAACUACGUG
RNAcentral lists this ribosomal RNA (468 nucleotides) under uncultured bacterium. RNAcentral's name for it is "partial 16S ribosomal RNA". It matches the Rfam family "Bacterial small subunit ribosomal RNA", at positions 28 to 507 of the family's 1533-position model. The record is from RNAcentral.